AUUGAACGCUGGCGGCAGGCCUAACACAUGCAAGUCGAACGAGUGGCGGACGGGUGAGUAAUGUCUGGGAAACUGCCAGAAGGAGGGGGCUAACUACGGGAAACGGUAGCUAAUCCCGCAUACCAUCGGAUGUGCCCAGAUGGGAUUAGCUAGUAGGGGGGGUAAAGGCUCAACUAGGCGACGAUCCCUAGCUGGUCUGAGAGGAUGACCAGCCACACUGGAACGGAGACACGGUCCAGACCCCUACGGUAGGCAGCAGUGGGUAAUAUUGCACAAUGGGCGCAAGCCUGAUGCAGCCAUGCCGCGUGUAUGAAGAAGGCCUUCGGGUUGUAAAGUACUUUCAGCGGGGAGGCGUUACCCGCAGAAGAAGCACCGGCUAACUCCGUGCCAGCAGCCGCGGUAAUUC
Molecule: ribosomal RNA, 406 nt
Filed under: uncultured bacterium
Lineage: Bacteria
Description: partial 16S ribosomal RNA
Rfam family: Bacterial small subunit ribosomal RNA
Source: RNAcentral